Molecule: long non-coding RNA, 2254 nt
Organism: Scylla paramamosain (green mud crab)
Lineage: Eukaryota; Metazoa; Arthropoda; Malacostraca; Decapoda; Portunidae
Exons: 4
Source: RefSeq, a predicted model, not a curated record
AGUUGAGUGAAAGACGAGGACAAGGGAAGAAGGAUAAACGUGCGUGCGUGCAGGACUGUGUAGACUGAGUGAUCGGGAUGUUGUUAGUGCAGUGUGGUAUGAAUUAAGUGGUGAUUAUUUAAUGCUUGUUCUGACAGUCACCACCAGCACCAUCACUACCACCACCAUCCCUGCUACCACCACCAGGAGUGAAGGCGGUGGUGUCUGACGGUGGCAGAGGAGUCCAGGUUCACGUGGAGACUCUCAGAAGUAUAAGCCACUGGUACUGUCGCGAUCACAAGACGAGAAGCAUUAGACUCACCUCCACUGUGCUUCGUAUUUUCUUUCAGUCUAGUAACGUGUGGUAUUUUUUAUUUUUUUUAUUUAGUAGGCCUUUUUUUAAUUCACAAUAGGCUUUUUUUCUCAUUUCAGUUGACCUUUUUUAUUGGAUUUUUCUUGCCCUUGGCCGGUAUCCCUCCUGCAUAAAAAAUAAAUAAAUAAAUAAAUAAAUAAAUAAAAACGUAACCUGACAGUGGAUUGAUUCUAAGACUAAGGGACUUCAGACUGAAAGUUAAUACAGGGAAUGUCAUAUAUUAAUCGACUACUGAUCGUGACUGUACAAUGAGCUGAACACUUGGAGAGCUUUCAAUGUGACCGUUUAGAGAGCUCCACCAUGACGCCGCCAUCACCACCACCACCACCACCACCACAUCAAGAAAAAGAGAGGUGUGUGCAGGGUGUGAAUGACCUGCAGCCCUUCAGUCCUUGAAGCGGCAACGCGGUGACAGGUGUCGGUGGCAGUUCAGUGACCUCAGCAGCCGGAUACACGCGGAGGCAACACUUACGCAUCCACCAGCUACGUUCUCAUUAACUUUCCAUUGAUGUGUUCGUGUUUCCAUUACUUUUGUAUAGUUUUUUUUUUUGCGCAUCUUUCCCUCUCCUGCACUGGAUGUGAACUGUGUGACUCUCUUUUUGCAGCACUGGUUUGGAAAUGAAGGAUAUGGAAAGGUAUGACGUCUGUGGAUUUUUGGUCUUUACUCUCACUGCCUUGGUGGCUUUAAACUGCUUCAACUUCACCACUGCGGCAAGUCAGUCAAUGAAGGAGGAAGUGAGACGGUGUUUUGAUUUCAACGGCAAGAUUUCUUCCCAAAAUAACUCCCAGACGAUAGAUUCUGUUACGGCGGGGUAGAUAUUCGUAAACACCACAAUGUCUUAACCCUUCUGCAGUCCUUCAACAGGGCUCAGUGGAGGGUAUUGCGGUUUCUAGGGACUCUAGUAAUUUCAGCGAUAAUUUAAGAAGACUUAUGUACCAUUGAAGACAAAAGACAUGAGAUCCCUACUAAUAAUAUCCAUGGCUUUGAAAAUAUCCUAAUUCACCUUAUCAGCUCCAACAGAACUUAAAUGAUAAGGAUGACUUUGACAGAUUGACAAUGCUUCCCUACCUCACACAAAUAAGAAGAUUACAUACGGCACUACAGCACUUAGAUAAAUAAAUAAACAGACAUAUAAAGGGAUGGAAGGAUAAAUAAAUAGCUGGACGGAUAAGUAGAUAAAUGUAUAGAUAAGCAGACUGAUAGAUAAAUAAACAGAGAAACAGAGACGAUGCAAUCACUAACCUAACCCUCACGGAAUAAGACACUCGUGAGAACCCUGGCAAUCAUCUCCUUGGCCUUUGAGGAUAAGAGAUAAGAGAAUGAAGCCUUUAAGAAUACACCUAGUGGCAUCAGAGCAGCGCAGACCAACACGUGCAAUUCACAGGGCCCUUUAUUUACGUCUGGCCGCGACACCGCAUCAUGAUCCUGCCUUACCCCUCCUCCCCUUCCCGCCGCGACCUUAAAGGGACACAAAGCAGCGAUAGGAAAACAGUGAGGGAUGGACAGGCGGGUAAUCUGAUCAGCGUAAUGUGUUUUAUUUUUGUAUCUAUUGAUUAGGCAAAUUUUUUUUUUUUUUUGUAAUACCGAGCGCUUCCUGUGGGUGAUUAAGUUUGUUGAUCAGUGCAGGUUAAUGAAAAGAUGGAUAAAUGGAUGAAUGGAAUGGGCGGACGGACUGAUAGAUAAACAGGUGAAUUGCUUGAUGUGUAUUUUGUUAGACAGAUGAAUAAAUAGAUAGAUGGAUAGAUAGUUCGAUGGAAGAAUGGAUGGAUGGGUGAAUAAAUGGCAGGAUGGUUGGGUAGAUGAAUGUAUAGAUAAGUAGACGAACAGACAGAUAAAUGUAUAAAUAGAGGUGGGCAAGUAGAUAGACAGAUGAAUAGAUAGAUAGAUAGAUAGAUAGAUAG